UAAUUCCCAAACAACUCGACUCUUAGAAAGUGUAUCACAUGAUCAUAGUAAUCUGCAUCAAAGACGGGAGUUUCACCCUCUAUGCCAACCCAUUCCAAGGUACUUAUACGCAGGCUACAAUCGAAAACACUUCUUGAGAUUACAAUGCGGUUGCCUGAAAGACAACAGCUUUUAAAUUUGAGCUUUUCCCUCUUCACUCGCCGUUACUAGGGGAAUCCUUGUUAGUUUCUUUUCCUCCGCGCUUAUUGAUAUGCA
Molecule: ribosomal RNA, 255 nt
Filed under: uncultured Wallemia
Lineage: Eukaryota; Fungi; Basidiomycota; Wallemiomycetes; Wallemiales; Wallemiaceae
Description: partial 26S ribosomal RNA
Source: RNAcentral